AAUCAACGCUGGCGGCGUGCCUAACACAUGCAAGUCGAACGAGAAGGUGACUUCGGUCACUGGAUAGUGGCGUCCGGGUGAGUAACACGUAGGUAAUCUACCUUCGGGUGGGGAAUAACGUCUCGAAAGAGACGCUAAUACCGCAUAAUGCAGCGGCACCUAAUGGUGAUUAGUUGUUAAAGCGGGGGAGUCUUCGGACCUCGCGCCUGAAGAGGAGCCUGCGGCAGAUUAGCUAGUUGGUGAGGUAAUGGCUCACCAAGGCUUCGAUCUGUAGCUGGUCUGAGAGGACGGCCAGCCACACUGGCACUGACACACGGGCCAGACUCCUACGGGAGGCAGCAGUGGGGAAUUUUGGGCAAUGGGCGAAAGCCUGACCCAGCAACGCCGCGUGAAGGAGGAAAUCCUUCGGGAUGUAAACUUCAUAAGUAAGGGAAGAAAGCUGCGGAUCGAAUAAGUCCGCAGUCCGACGGUACCUUACGU
RNAcentral lists this ribosomal RNA (480 nucleotides) under uncultured bacterium. RNAcentral describes it as "bacterial SSU rRNA". It matches the Rfam family "Bacterial small subunit ribosomal RNA", at positions 32 to 485 of the family's 1533-position model. The record is from RNAcentral.